This 160-nucleotide ribosomal RNA is filed under the name uncultured bacterium. RNAcentral describes it as "partial 16S rRNA". It matches the Rfam family "Bacterial small subunit ribosomal RNA", at positions 355 to 507 of the family's 1533-position model. The record is from RNAcentral.
UGAGGAAUAUUGCGCAAUGGGGGAAACCCUGACGCAGCGAUGCCGCGUGAGUGAAGAAGGCCUUCGGGUCGUAAAGCUCUGUCAAACGGGAAGAAUAGCUUCGGGGCUAAUAUCCUCGAGGUGUGACGUACCGUUGAAGGAAGCACCGGCUAACUCCGUG